This 497-nucleotide ribosomal RNA is filed under the name uncultured bacterium. RNAcentral's name for it is "partial 16S ribosomal RNA". It matches the Rfam family "Bacterial small subunit ribosomal RNA", at positions 28 to 507 of the family's 1533-position model. The record is from RNAcentral.
GAUGAACGCUGGCGGCGUGCCUAAUACAUGCCAGUCGAGCGAACAGACGAGGAGCUUGCUCCUCUGACGUUAGCGGCGGACGGGUGAGUAACACGUGGAUAACCUACCUAUAAGACUGGGAUAACUUCGGGAAACCGGAGCUAAUACCGGAUAAUAUAUUGAACCGCAUGGUUCAAUAGUGAAAGACGGUUUUGCUGUCACUUAUAGAUGGAUCCGCGCCGUAUUAGCUAGUUGGUAAGGUAACGGCUUACCAAGGCAACGAUGCGUAGCCGACCUGAGAGGGUGAUCGGCCACACUGGAACUGAGACACGGUCCAGACGCCUACGGGAGGCAGCAGUAGGGAAUCUUCCGCAAUGGGCGAAAGCCUGACGGAGCAACGCCGCGUGAGUGAUGAAGGUCUUCGGAUCGUAAAACUCUGUUAUUAGGGAAGAACAGAUGUGUAAGUAACUGUGCACGUCUUGACGGUACCUAAUCAGAAAGCCACGGCUAACUACGUG